CCUACGGGAGGCAGCAGUGGGGGAUAUUGCACAAUGGGGGGAACCCUGAUGCAGCGACGCCGCGUGGGUGAAGAAGCGCCUCGGCGCGUAAAGCCCUGUCGGCAGGGAAGAAAAUGACGGUACCUUAAGAAUAAGCCCCGGCUAACUACGUGCCAGCAGCCGCGGGAAUACGGAGGGGGCAAGCGUUAUCCGGAUUUACUGGGUGUAAAGGGGGCGCAGGCGGGGAGGCAAGCCAGGAGUGAAAGCCCGGGGCCCAACCCCGGGACUGCCUUUGGAACUGCGUGGCUGGAGUGCAGGAGGGGCAGGCGGAAUUCCUGGUGUAGCGGUGAAAUGCGGAGAUAUCAGGAGGAACACUGGUGGCGAAGGCGGCCUGCUGGACUGCAACUGACGUUGAGGCCCGAAAGCGUGGGGAGCAAACAGGAUUAGAUACCCGAGUAGUC
RNAcentral lists this ribosomal RNA (440 nucleotides) under uncultured bacterium. RNAcentral describes it as "partial 16S ribosomal RNA". It matches the Rfam family "Bacterial small subunit ribosomal RNA", at positions 338 to 795 of the family's 1533-position model. The record is from RNAcentral.